This is a non-coding RNA of Mycena polygramma, 93 nucleotides long. The record is from the annotation of a GenBank genome assembly. Lineage: Eukaryota; Fungi; Basidiomycota; Agaricomycetes; Agaricales; Mycenaceae.
GCUUCCGUGGCUCAGCGGUUGAGCGCCUCGAGGUAAUUCAUCAUGGUGAACAUCCUUCUCGAGGCGGCGUGGGUUCGACUCCCACCGGAGGCA